CCUACGGGAGGCAGCAGUGGGGAAUAUUGGGCAAUGGCCGGAAGGCUGAAGCAGCGAAGCCGCGUGAGGGAAGAAGGAUCUAGGGUUGGUAAACUUCGUUUAUAGGGGAAUAAAGGUAUCCACGUGAGGAUAUUUGCAUGUACCCUAUGAAUAAGCAUCGGCUAACUCCGUGCCAGCAGCCGCGGUAAUACGGAGGAUGCGAGCGUUAUCCGGAUUUAUUGGGUUUAAAGGGAGCGUAGGUUGUUUUUUAAGUCAGGGGUGAAAGUUUGUGGCUCAACCAUAAAACUGCCGUUGAAACUGGAAGACUUGAGUGUGUUAGAGGUAGGCGGAAUGCGUGGUGUAGCGGUGAAAUGCAUAGAUAUCACGCAGAACUCCGAUUGCGAAGGCAGCUUACUAAGCCAUAACUGACACUGAAGCACGAAAGCGUGGGGAUCAAACAGGAUUAGAUACCCGGGUAGUC
RNAcentral lists this ribosomal RNA (460 nucleotides) under uncultured bacterium. RNAcentral describes it as "partial 16S ribosomal RNA". It matches the Rfam family "Bacterial small subunit ribosomal RNA", at positions 338 to 795 of the family's 1533-position model. The record is from RNAcentral.